RNAcentral lists this long non-coding RNA (221 nucleotides) under Mytilus galloprovincialis (Mediterranean mussel). The record is from RNAcentral. Lineage: Eukaryota; Metazoa; Mollusca; Bivalvia; Mytilida; Mytilidae.
GUCCUAUAUAGCGAAUUAUGUGUUUUUGACCUUAUUUAAAGGAUUUUCAGUGUGUUUUAAAGCUUUUUAAGGUUGACCUUGACCUUUGACCUUACAACUUUUUAGUCGAUAUCUCAAAAACGAUUGUACUUACAGAAAUAGUAAAUAGUGAAAAACGUUGAGGUGGAUGAGGCGCAACUUUUUUACAUUGACCGAAGAGAUUUGACCUUUCUGUAAGGGGC